RNAcentral lists this ribosomal RNA (353 nucleotides) under uncultured Anoxybacillus sp. Its description in RNAcentral is "bacterial SSU rRNA". It matches the Rfam family "Bacterial small subunit ribosomal RNA", at positions 1028 to 1382 of the family's 1533-position model. Lineage: Bacteria; Bacillati; Bacillota; Bacilli; Caryophanales; Anoxybacillaceae. The record is from RNAcentral.
GGGUGGACAGGUGGUGCAUGGUUGUCGUCAGCUCGUGUCGUGAGAUGUUGGUUAAGUCCCGCAACGAGCGCAACCCUCGACCUUAGUUGCCAGCAUUCAGUUGGGCACUCUAAGGUGACUGCCGGCUAAAAGUCGGAGGAAGGUGGGGAUGACGUCAAAUCAUCAUGCCCCUUAUGACCUGGGCUACACACGUGCUACAAUGGGCGGUACAAAGGGUCGCGAACCCGCGAGGGGGAGCCAAUCCCAAAAAGCCGCUCUCAGUUCGGAUUGCAGGCUAGCAACUCGCCUGCAUGAAGCCGGAAUCGCUAGUAAUCGCGGAUCAGCAUGCCGCGGUGAAUACGUUCCCGGGCCUU